This 305-nucleotide ribosomal RNA is filed under the name uncultured bacterium. RNAcentral describes it as "bacterial SSU rRNA". It matches the Rfam family "Bacterial small subunit ribosomal RNA", at positions 335 to 635 of the family's 1533-position model. The record is from RNAcentral.
GUGCCUACGGGGGGCAGCAGUGAGGAAUAUUGGUCAAUGGGCGGUAGCCUGAACCAGCCAAGUAGCGUGAAGGAUGAAGGUUCUAUGGAUUGUAAACUUCUUUUAUAAAGGAAUAAAGUGAGGCACGUGUGCCUUUUUGUAUGUACCUUAUGAAUAAGGAUCGGCUAACUACGUGCCAGCAGCCGCGGUCAUACGUAGGAUCCGAGCAUUAUCCGGAGUGACUGGGUGUAAAGAGUUGCGUAGGUGGCAUAGUAAGUAGCUAGUGAAAUCUGGUGGCUCAACCAUUCAGACUAUUAGCUAAACUG